This is a long non-coding RNA of Humulus lupulus (European hop), 2809 nucleotides long. RefSeq lists it as uncharacterized. Lineage: Eukaryota; Viridiplantae; Streptophyta; Magnoliopsida; Rosales; Cannabaceae. The transcript is spliced from 2 exons. The record is from RefSeq and is a predicted model, not a curated record.
ACCCUUUUCUGAAAUAUCAACAAACAAUAUUCACUAAUGAUUCCAGGGCAUGCUUACAAGACUUAUCACAUGAACCAACUCCUCAAGACCUCUUGCAUGCACUAGCUCCCAAAGACCUCUAGCCAGGUCCUCAGGACCUCUUCCUAACGGGAGAUUGAUUUUUAGGUAUAAUAUUUUCCCCCCAAAAGCCUGUACUUGAGCUUGAUGAUGAGAGGCUUUUGUUCUUCUAAUUUCAAUCAUCUUGGCCAACUAUAGCUUUCACAUACUUGCUAAGUGUUAGCUCCUUAAAAGAUGACUCAUUUGACACAAAUGACAAAAAAAAAAAAAAUAAUUCACUCUCCCUUUCUUCACCACGUGUUAGCUCCUUAAAAGAUGACUCAUUUUACACAAAUGACAAAAAAAAAAAAAAAAUCACUCUCCCUUUCUUCACCACCAAUGCAUAGAUAACUUUAGACCAUUAGAUAAAAAAGUUAACCUUAUCAUCAAAUGGCUCAAAUCAAAACCCUCAUCUUCUAAAAAUAACACCUCUUUUCACUCAUUUCUUUCACUUUUCUAUCUAUCCCCAAAAAAAAAAAAAAAAAAUUGGUGCUCCAAGACUUCUCCAAGAAUUGAAAACCACAACUAUGUGCGUGUUACCUUCAUCUCAACACUAGAGCUACACCACUUUGUCGGCAACUUGCCAGAAAUUUCAACGCCGCGUGACUUCUCCAUCAACAAGCUUCAUUUGUGCACCGGAUGUAAAAUCGCUCAUGGAAAAAGGCGUGUUUUGUCCUGCUGAUAAAUAUUAAUAUAUAUUAGUGAUGUGGGCCAAUGUCAUUAUAGCAAUGUUAUAUUUUGCUGACAAUAUCUCUGAUUUUACUUAUUGAAUGCCUUGGCGCCAAAUAACAGCUAGACAAUUAAGUAAUAUCAAAUAUUUUGAGUAGGGAUAAAAAUGUAGUCUUGUAAGAUUGUAGAUCAGUGAUGGAUAUAUUAAGUCUAAAAAAAUAUUAAUAACACACAAGUGAUAUGAGGUUGACUAGUUUCAUUAAGACGAUGUUGAAUAAGUAACAUAGAUUCAUACAAAACAUAUUUUUGAUGUAAUGUGUGUAUCUCUGGAAUAAAUAUUACCCAGUCACACCUAUUUUUUUUCCUCCUUCCACCAAAUUUGGCCUAAAGAGGAGAAAAAAACAAAUAAAGAGAAGUAAUAAUUAUGCUCUUAAUAUUUUGUCUCUAAUAUGCUCCUAAUUUAACUUUUUAAUUAAUCAUUAACAUUAUACCUAGUAACAUUUAUGUACAUUUAUAAAUGAAUUAAUAAAAAUAAUAAUAUACUAUAAUUCCAAUAUCAAACUCAUAUUAUAUAGGCUUGAUUUCAAAUGAAGUCUCCCACUAUUGACAAUUCAGUAAUAUCAAAUGUUUUUUGUAGGGAUAAGAAAUAUGUUAUUAUAAAAUUGUAGGUUAGUGAUAGAUAUAUUUAUUGUAAAUAAAUAUUAAUAGCACACAAGUGAUAUGAGGUUGACUGGUUUCAUUUAAAUGAUGUUCAAUAGAUAAUGUAGAUUCAUACGAAGCAUAUUUUUGUCGUAAUGUUAAUUAUCGUUAUGAGUAAUGUGUAUCUAAGGAAUAAAUAUUAAAUUAAUUAUGAGUAAUAUGUUUUGUGUAGUGAUAAAAAUGUAAUAUGAUACAAUUAUAGGUCAUUGAUGGAUAUAUUUAUUCUGAACAAAUGUUAAUAAUGCACAAGUGAUAUGAGGUUGACUGGGUUAAUUUAGACAAUGCUUUGUAAAUAACCUAGAUUCAUACCAAGGUAAUUUGUGUCGUAAUGUUAAUUAUUAUUAUGAGCAAUGUGCAUGUGUGGAAUAAAUAUUAAAUUAAUUGACGUAGUUUUGAGCAUUUUCUACGGUAUUUGUAUAGUUUAGAUUAGAAAGUAUUAACUCUCAUUUAGUAAGCAGUGAAGUAAUUAUUAUUAUUAACAUCUGAAAAAAUAGUGAGAAUUAAUUCAUUUGAUAUAGAAACACAAAACUAACCAUAGUGAGUUAAAACAAGCCGAUGCAGAUCUAUUGUUUUAAUUCAAUCAAUAUUUCACAUUAUGGUAAUAAAUAAUUAUUUCAUUAGAAUGUGGCAAAGUCCCUGAAUUAAAGUCUUACUAACUCGAUUGGAAGGAGUUUUGUGUCGAAUUUUCAUGGUAAUGGAAUUGAAAAAUGUCGUUGUAGUUUGAUUCUGAUGGGGUUGGAAUAUAUGUGUUAUCAUUUGUUGAAGACGAAGGCCCUGCAUGAGUUGUAGAGGGCAUUCCCAACCUUUUUUGCACAUGUACGCCUAUUAUGAUCUCGACCUCCACAAAGUGUGCAUUGCCUACCGCUUUGUACCCAGUCGUUUGAAUGUUGUAAAUUUGAUGCUUUUUUAGAAUUGACCGGGGUACUUAUGCCCUUCGUCCUCACCACUACUGGAUCUUUUAUAAUGCUUAGAUUUUCUUGAUGUGGUGUUGAUGUUUUUGAUGAAGUUGUCUUGCUACUUUGUCCCUGCUCGUAAGCCUCUUUAAACAUGUUCGUCAGCCUUGCAAUCUCAGUCUUUUCCAUUUGGAAUGGGGUGUCGUUUUGUGAUGCAUAAAAGUUCAUUAAGUUGGAAUACAUAUUAAGUGAGCCAAACCUGUGGUUAAGUUGAGGAUGCAGUAUUAAACAUAAUUAGAAUAACAAAAUAAGAAGGGAGAUCUAAACUUGGAUUUUAUUUCUACCUUGACAUUUAAAUCAUCUUUUGACGAUUUGGUUGAUUGUCCAGGGAGUUGUGUUUGGGAAUAAGUCUUGACAUCCUUUCGCCAACGAGUUAAAAUUAGGGAUUCAGG